AGGGAAACCGAGUCUUAACUGGGCGUUAAGUUGCAGGGUAUAGACCCGAAACCCGGUGAUCUAGCCAUGGGCAGGUUGAAGGUUGGGUAACACUAACUGGAGGACCGAACCGACUAAUGUUGAAAAAUUAGCGGAUGACUUGUGGCUGGGGGUGAAAGGCCAAUCAAACCGGGAGAUAGCUGGUUCUCCCCGAAAGCUAUUUAGGUAGCGCCUCGUGAACUCAUCUUCGGGGGUAGAGCACUGUUUCGGCUAGGGGGUCAUCCCGACUUACCAACCCGAUGCAAACUGCGAAUACCGAAGAAUGUUAUCACGGGAGACACACGGCGGGUGCUAACGUCCGUCGUGAAGAGGGAAACAACCCAGACCGCCAGCUAAGGUCCCAAAGUCACAGUUAAGUGGGAAACGAUGUGGGAAGGCUCAGACAGCCAGGAUGUUGGCUUAGAAGCAGCCAUCAUUUAAAGAAAGCGUAAUAGCUCACUGGUCGAGUCGGCCUGCGCGGAAGAUGUAACGGGGCUAAACUGUGCACCGAAGCUGCGGCAGCGACGCUUAUGCGUUGUUGGGUAGGGGAGCGUUCUGUAAGCCUGCGAAGGUGUCCUGUGAGGGAUGCUGGAGGUAUCAGAAGUGCGAAUGCUGACAUAAGUAACGAUAAUGCGGGUGAAAAGCCCGCUCGCCGGAAGACCAAGGGUUCCUGUCCAACGUUAAUCGGGGCAGGGUGAGUCGACCCCUAAGGCGAGGCCGAAAGGCGUAGUCGAUGGGAAACGGGUUAAUAUUCCCGUACUUGGUGUUACUGCGAAGGGGGGACGGAGAAGGCUAUGUUGGCCGGGCGACGGUUGUCCCGGUUUAAGCGUGUAGGCUGGUUUUCCAGGCAAAUCCGGAAAAUCAAGGCUGAGGCGUGAUG
RNAcentral lists this ribosomal RNA (898 nucleotides) under Salmonella enterica. RNAcentral's name for it is "partial 23S ribosomal RNA". It matches the Rfam family "Bacterial large subunit ribosomal RNA", at positions 670 to 1568 of the family's 2925-position model. Lineage: Bacteria; Pseudomonadati; Pseudomonadota; Gammaproteobacteria; Enterobacterales; Enterobacteriaceae. The record is from RNAcentral. RNAcentral also lists the same sequence under 1 other name.